UGUGGGGUUGAUGAGGUCUUCGAUCAAUACUCAUCAGGUCCAGUUUGCUUUAGCUGGUCUCUGGACAAGGACCCGCCACAUCGCUACCGGUGCUGCUGCUGGCCCAUGUAGACACACAGCUUCCCUCUUCAGGAGGAAUGGUGAGAAAGUUCCAGUGAAUCAAUGAAAGGCCGCCAUCCUCGUUUUAGUAUUCUGAAAGUGUAUUUCUCGAAUGAGUGAUUGAAUGGUGUCAUCUUUGAUUAUGGUAAAGAGCACUUUUUAGAUUGGAGAGGCCUCCAAAUUUCGAUCACAUAGUGGCAAUAUGGAAGUUAAGGGGACAUUUGAUUAUUUUUUUCUGUCAAAGACUCAAAGUCAGAGAACUGAUUUCGGGGGGGGGGGUUUGGCCUCUCUUUUGCUUCCUCUUUUUAACUUAGUCGUUGUUUGAAAAGAUAACUCCAGAGAAACAAGUGAUGAUAAUGAAUGGGGAGUUUUCUAAAUUACACAGAACCCAAGAAGAGAUCACAAAGUCAUUUUUUUACACUGGAUUCAGAGGGUUAUCUUUCAAAGGGUACAGCUUUAUCUUCAAUUUAUAGAAUUUUUGAUCAAAGGACAUUGCAAGAUUUAUAGACUACACUCAAAAGUGUGAGGAAAAAAUAUAUACAUAUAGGAAAAUGCUGGAAGAAAAUGCUGCACUGUUAACUGUUUAGAUACAGCUGCAUAGUAUUAUUAAUAUCUUUUUAUACUUUUCUAUAUUUAACAUAAUGGGCAUAUAGCAGCUUAUUAAAAAAAGUUUUUAAAAAUAUUUACAAAAUGUCAUCAGAAGUGCAAGUGGUCAUUAAUAUCAGAGCAUGGGAAAAGUUACUCUUCACGGAAACAAUCUUAUAAACGACCAGCCAUAUGCCAUUGUGUUGGUGUUUAAAAUUAUUAAAAUUAGUAACUCCAAUUUUUGAAGAAAAAGUUACAUGUGUGUCUCAUUUCCUUUUUUUCUGGAAUUGGUCUCAAAUGACUAUGCACAAGUUACCCCUAUAUCUGUUGCAAAGGACAGAAUAAAAGGUCAUGUUUAAAAAUCAUCCAGUUCUCUAACUCUGCAACUCGGAUUUCCUUAAUUGGAUUGGAAUUGUAGUCAUGGAUGGGAUCUGGAAGAAGGUGUCAUAAAGGAUUUGUGGAAGAUUGACUUUAUAGUGUUAUGUACACACUAUAAUUAUCCUCUCUUGUGUAUUUAAUGUACCAGUUUAUUUAAUAGAUAGUUCUAGUGGAAGAUUUAGUCCUGGAUAUUGGUGUCUUUUUUUGGAUAUUGAUGUUUUGAAAUGAGUAGGAAGCCCCCUCCCCUCAUAGACUAGCUAUAAAUUCAAUCCGUAUAGUUCUACAUCUGAGCCUCAUACAGUUUUACUCCAUGGCCCAUUGUGGGUGGCGUGGGGAAGCCUCAGAUUUCUAGACUAUUGAAUUGUGUUCAUAUGAAUAUUGUUCUAUUUGAUGAAGUCAUGAUUUCUGCCCAGAUCCAAGCUUCCAGAGAGCAGGAAGACAAGUUGUCUACUUCCCCCACCAAGCUGCAUGUUUUACUUUUGUGGUCUCUGUGGUCAUUCCAGCCCAAGCCUCGUAACAAUUUGACUGGGCCAAUGAUCAAAGCCAGUUUUUGUACUCUCAACACAUCCCAACAAUAGGAGGUAGGAGGGACCACACAGAUGCUUCCAAAAUGUUGAACUGCGAGGAGGAAUAGAGAGAGUUUCUCUAACAUGCUGAUAUCGAUAUGGUCUGCAGACUAUUUUGGUUCCUAGGCUUAUGAUACCUCUUUUAACUCAAGAAAAUAAGGAAGCGAUCUUUCCUGAGAUGCCAUGGUUCCCUGUGGCCCUUCUGGAGACGUCCACACGACCCAGAGGCAGGGGUGUCUUAGCGAAGCGGGGGCC
Lutra lutra (Eurasian river otter) is the source of this 1883-nucleotide long non-coding RNA. RefSeq lists it as uncharacterized. The record is from RefSeq and is a predicted model, not a curated record. The transcript is spliced from 3 exons. Lineage: Eukaryota; Metazoa; Chordata; Mammalia; Carnivora; Mustelidae.